CCAAUAGCGUAUAUUAAAGUUGUUGCAGUUAAAAAGCUCGUAGUUGAAUUUCGGGAUCAAUAUGUUGGUCGUGCCUUGGUACGUACUAUCUUAUUGAUUUCUUCCUUCUGACGAACCAUGAUGUCAUUAAUUUGAUGUCAUGGGGAAUCAGGACUGUUACUUUGAAAAAAUUAGAGUGUUUAAAGCAGGCUCACGCUUGAAUACAUUAGCAUGGAAUAAUGAAAUAGGACGUUUGAUUCUAUUUUGUUGGUUUCUAGGAUCGACGUAAUGAUUAAUAGGGAUAGUUGGAGGCAUUAGUAUUCAAUUGUCAGAGGUGAAAUUCUUGGAUUUAUUGAAGACUAACUACUGCGAAAGCAUUUGCCAAGGAUGUUUUCAUUAAUCAAGAACGAAAGUUAGGGGAUCGAAGACGAUCAGAUACCGUCGUAGUCUUAACCAUAAACUAUGCCGACUAGGGAUCGGAUGAUGUUAAUUUUUUAAUGACUCAUUCGGCGCCUUACG
This 498-nucleotide ribosomal RNA is filed under the name uncultured Glomeromycotina. Its description in RNAcentral is "partial small subunit ribosomal RNA". It matches the Rfam family "Eukaryotic small subunit ribosomal RNA", at positions 591 to 1092 of the family's 1831-position model. The record is from RNAcentral. Lineage: Eukaryota; Fungi; Glomeromycota.